AUGGAGGAGCAGCUCAACCAGUUCGUGCGGCUCUGGGAAGAAGUGCAAUUGAUGCAUCUCACGGACGGCAAAGACCAGAUCUGCUGGGACCUAACUGCAAACCAGCGCUACUCAGCAGCCUCUGCUUAUGACAUACAAUUUGUGGCAAGAGUGGUCAAACCUGAUCUGGCCAAAAUAUGGAAGAGAACUGGACCGCCGAUCGCCUUGCAAGCAAGGGGAUGGCCACAUAAUGCAAUGUGUGCUCUGUGUGACCAAGAAAAUGAGACGGCGGAUCACAUCACCCUAGGCUGCUGUUUUGCCAAAGAGGUCUGGAUGCAGUUUCAAGGAGGUACUGGGAGAAUGGCAAUAAGGGCUCCGUCGGCUGCAACCAUUAGGGAAUGGUGGACCAGCCUUUGUGAAGGCAGGGGGACAAAGGAGAGGAAUAAGGAGCAAAUCACGUUAGCGGCUUAG
This 450-nucleotide ribosomal RNA is filed under the name Triticum aestivum (bread wheat). RNAcentral describes it as "partial small subunit ribosomal RNA". Lineage: Eukaryota; Viridiplantae; Streptophyta; Magnoliopsida; Poales; Poaceae. The record is from RNAcentral.